Molecule: ribosomal RNA, 253 nt
Filed under: uncultured bacterium
Lineage: Bacteria
Description: partial 16S ribosomal RNA
Rfam family: Bacterial small subunit ribosomal RNA
Source: RNAcentral
UACGUAGGAGACGAGCGUUGUCCGGAAUUACUGGGCGUAAAGCGCGUGUAGGCGGAUGGGCAAGUCUGCUGUGAAAGCUCCUGGCUUAACCGGGAGUGGUCGGUGGAAACUGCCAAUCUGGAGGACGGUAGAGGCUGGUGGAAUUCCCGGUGUAGUGGUGAAAUGCGUAGAGAUCGGGAGGAACACCUGUGGCGAAGGCGGCCAGCUGGGCCGGACCUGACGCUGAGACGCGAAGGCGUGGGGAGCGAACGGG